GAAUAUUACACCAUUUCACACAGCUUGAGCACCUAUAGAGCUUGGCGUUGGAGGACAUCCUGAAAAUAAUCCUCCAUAGAUAUUGAGGGCCAACCGUAUGUGAAUUUUUUGCAGGCAAAAUCAAUCAACCAACCAACCAAUCAAUGAAUCAAUCUCCACAAAGUAUACUUUACAUGACCAUGAAGUUUUCCAGGAGAUUCAGUACCCUCCUUUUACCCAGUUUGAUCCAGAUAUUCAUCUAAGAGCAACAGGAGAAAAGUAACCAAGACAGAAUUUGGCACCAGAGGAGUGAUGUUUUCUGCUGCCAGGAGCUGUUGCCCUCUGCCAUGUGCCACUCUACCUUGGAGCCAGCCGUGUAUGGACUGAAACCUCCACAAAGUGUGAGCUAAAUAAACCUCUCCUUCCUUAAUUCUGGGCAUUAGGUAUUUUAUCCCAGCAAUGAGAGAAAAGUAACCAAGACAGUCACCUACCAGGACAUGUUUUGAUAAUAGCUAAGCACUGGUAUAAAUCUUUAGGGACUUGGAUUCUCUCAAGUGUGACAGAACACUCAUCACAGCUGCCAGCACUCCAAUUUAAAAAGAUCACAAUUGGCAAAUG
This 597-nucleotide long non-coding RNA is filed under the name Chinchilla lanigera (long-tailed chinchilla). RNAcentral's name for it is "lncRNA (ENSCLAG00000025192.1)". The record is from RNAcentral. Lineage: Eukaryota; Metazoa; Chordata; Mammalia; Rodentia; Chinchillidae.